RNAcentral lists this long non-coding RNA (659 nucleotides) under Lathyrus oleraceus (garden pea). Its description in RNAcentral is "Pisum sativum (pea) long non-coding RNA (PSAT_LNC030753)". The record is from RNAcentral. Lineage: Eukaryota; Viridiplantae; Streptophyta; Magnoliopsida; Fabales; Fabaceae.
UUUUGUCCAGGGUUUUGUUCCAAGGAAACCUCAUAGUGUUUUGCUUCUCUUCCUUUUUCUGUCUGUUCUCCCUCUUUUAUAACCUGAUUUUCAUGGCUUUGUGGGCUCAAAAGAGAGAGGUCCAAGUCUGAGAUUUUUUCUUUUAUUUAUUUAAUUUUUUAAUUUUUUUUUUCUGUUUUCCGUUUUUCUUUUUUUCUUUUUUUUUUGUUUUUUUUUUGUUUUUUGCAUAACACGUGGGCUUCGCCUAGUGAGCAUGACAGCUCAUGAACAAACCUUUGCUCCUUCAAGAUUAACGUUUUGACUGACGAAUAGACCCUUGUUGGAAGUAACUCAAGUUUUUCCCUUGUGUUGACUGAUCAUCUAAAUAGAACCCACAAAGUGUCCUGGAUGAUGUUCAAGCUUCUUGGAGUUAAUCCCGAUUGACAUGAUGAAAUGCAAUGUAUCUAAUGUUAAAUUACCUAAAAAUGAAUGCGUGAAUAAGGAGGGCAAAUUUUGGGGUGUUACAGCUGCCCCUAUUCAGUCAUCAGCUAACCCGAGCAGGAUGAAAGCGAACAGCUUAUCAGACAAACAGGGUGAGCUGUGAUUGAAUACCAAAGACAUACCGAAAAUUUGCGCUCCGAGAACACCACAAAAAUGCUGAAAUACACCGCGUUGUUUAU